GUGGGGAAUCUUCCGCAAUGGACGAAAGUCUGACGGAGCAACGCCGCGUGAGUGAAGAAGGUUUUCGGAUCGUAAAGCUCUUUCGUUAGGGACGAACGUGCUCUUUGUGAAUAAUGAGGAGUAAUGACGGUACCUAAAUAAGAAGCCACGGCUAACUACGUGCCAGCAGCCGCGGUAAUACGUAGGUGGCAAGCGUUGUCCGGAAUUAUUGGGCGUAAAGCGCGCGCAGGCGGGAUAUCAAGUCUGUCUUAAAAGUGCGAGGCUCAACCUCGUGAGGGGACAGAAACUGGUAUUCUUGAGUGUCGGAGAGGAAAGUGGAAUUCCAAGUGUAGCGGUGAAAUGCGUAGAGAUUUGGAAGAACACCAGUGGCGAAGGCGACUUUCUGGACGAUGUCUGACGCUGAGGCGCGAAAGCUAGGGGAGCGAACGGGAUUAGAAACCUCGGUAGUCC
This 450-nucleotide ribosomal RNA is filed under the name uncultured bacterium. Its description in RNAcentral is "partial 16S ribosomal RNA". It matches the Rfam family "Bacterial small subunit ribosomal RNA", at positions 354 to 796 of the family's 1533-position model. The record is from RNAcentral.